This 458-nucleotide ribosomal RNA is filed under the name Pseudomonas aeruginosa. Its description in RNAcentral is "partial 23S ribosomal RNA". It matches the Rfam family "Bacterial large subunit ribosomal RNA", at positions 1242 to 1701 of the family's 2925-position model. Lineage: Bacteria; Pseudomonadati; Pseudomonadota; Gammaproteobacteria; Pseudomonadales; Pseudomonadaceae. The record is from RNAcentral.
UGUAAGCCUGCGAAGGUGUGCUGUGAGGCAUGCUGGAGGUAUCAGAAGUGCGAAUGCUGACAUAAGUAACGAUAAAGCGGGUGAAAAGCCCGCUCGCCGGAAGACCAAGGGUUCCUGUCCAACGUUAAUCGGGGCAGGGUGAGUCGACCCCUAAGGCGAGGCCGAAAGGCGUAGUCGAUGGGAAACAGGUUAAUAUUCCUGUACUUGGUGUUACUGCGAAGGGGGGACGGAGAAGGCUAUGUUAGCCGGGCGACGGUUGUCCCGGUUUAAGCAUGUAGGCUGGUUAUCCAGGCAAAUCCGGAUAAUCAAGGCUGAGGUGUGAUGACGAGGCACUACGGUGCUGAAGUAACAAAUGCCCUGCUUCCAGGAAAAGCCUCUAAGCAUCAGGUAACAUCAAAUCGUACCCCAAACCGACACAGGUGGUCAGGUAGAGAAUACCAAGGCGCUUGAGAGAACUC